GGGGAAUUUUGGACAAUGGGCGAAAGCCUGAUCCAGCCAUUCCGCGUGCAGGAUGAAGGCCCUCGGGUUGUAAACUGCUUUUGUACAGAACGAAAAAGCUCUGGUUAAUACCUGGAGUCCAUGACGGUACUGUAAGAAUAAGCACCGGCUAACUACGUGCCAGCAGCCGCGGUAAUACGUAGGGUGCAAGCGUUAAUCGGAAUUACUGGGCGUAAAGCGUGCGCAGGCGGUUUUGUAAGACAGAGGUGAAAUCCCCGGGCUCAACCUGGGAACUGCCUUUGUGACUGCAAGGCUGGAGUGCGGCAGAGGGGGAUGGAAUUCCGCGUGUAGCAGUGAAAUGCGUAGAUAUGCGGAGGAACACCGAUGGCGAAGGCAAUCCCCUGGGCCUGCACUGACGCUCAUGCACGAAAGCGUGGGGAGCAAAC
This 425-nucleotide ribosomal RNA is filed under the name uncultured bacterium. Its description in RNAcentral is "bacterial SSU rRNA". It matches the Rfam family "Bacterial small subunit ribosomal RNA", at positions 356 to 773 of the family's 1533-position model. The record is from RNAcentral.